RNAcentral lists this long non-coding RNA (1372 nucleotides) under Homo sapiens (human). RNAcentral describes it as "HSALNT0295825". The record is from RNAcentral. Lineage: Eukaryota; Metazoa; Chordata; Mammalia; Primates; Hominidae.
CAAAUAGCACAAUGUGGACAGUCUCCAACCCAGAGCCAGGUAUUAUUCUCUCCUGUGAACACAGAAAGACUCAAACCCAGGGAGGAGAAGUGACCUACCUGUGAUCACAGGACUUGCCAAUGAUAGAACUAUGUUCAGUUUCUCAUUACUUCUAGCAAAUUGGCAAAUUAUACUAAGGGAGUAGAGGUAGAGUUGAGUUCAUGUACAACAAUAUAGAAAUCAGCUAAAGUGGAUCAGAGCAGGAAGUUUUACAAUUCAGGGAAAGGUUAAGAUAGAAAGGGAUCCUUUCCCCCAAUCAAGAAAGACAGCCUUGGACCACCAGUUAGAGAAUCCCCCAAUUUUCUCUCUGCCAUAAGUCACUGAAACUGAGAGCUAAGGCAGGGCCUCUGUGAGUCAUGAGCACUUAAUCCAGCGGGAGACCUCAGAACAGGAUAUUUCCUUUUUUGAGAUUCCCUGUCAUACCAGUUAUGGAUAAAUUUGCAUUUUGGAUGGGACAUUACUGGACCAGCCCAUUUUAGGCAGUUCCGUUUCCCCCUGGGUGGGGCAGCAGGCCCUGUGAAGAGGUUCUCAGCCUCAUGACUCCUAAACUCCUGGUACUUGAGCACCGAUCUGCUUUGGAGAACCUGAUUCUGAGACUCCAGCAGGAUGUCUUAUCAACAGUAGCAAUGUAAGCAGCCCUGCCAGCCACCUCCUGUGUGCCGCCUGCCAAAGCGUCCAGAGCCAUGUCCACCCCUGAAGUGCCCUGAGCCCUGCCCACCACCAAAGUGUCCACAGCCCUGCCCACCUCAGCAGUGCCAGCAGAAAUAUCCUCUGGUGACACCUUCCCCACCCUGCCAGCCAAAGUGUCCACCCAAGAGCAAGUAACAGCUUCGGAAUUCAUCAGGACCACGAAAGGAUAGGGAUAAUUGGCUCACCUCGUUCCACAGCUCCACCUGCAUCUUCUCAUCAAAGCCAUCCAGGGAUACACAGGGAGCUUCUUUCCCCUUAGCCUGUGAUCUGCCCAUGAUGAUCCCCGACAGCAAAAUGUUUCCUUUCUGAGGCUGCCAUGCUGCCACUGUCCAGGUGGAGACUGAGCAAAGGAAGUCCUGGGCUGUGCCAGCUCCCAGAGCUUCAGAAGAAAGAGCAGCUCUCUCCCUGGGAACCAUUAGAGAAUUCUGUUGAUGUUUUCUGUGUCUGUCUGUCCCCUGGGCAUGAGCUUCCACCACCUGUGCAGUUGUCACUUUCCUUUCACUCCCUGAAUAAAGAAUCUAUGCAUAUAUAUUUGUGAAUGGAUCUUUUGUUUCUUUUCAAAUAUGCUUUAUUAGCAAUAUUUUAUAAUCAUUUGGGUAUAUUUCCACUUUUCUUUCAUCCACAGACAGGAUCUCACAAUUUG